RNAcentral lists this ribosomal RNA (468 nucleotides) under uncultured bacterium. RNAcentral's name for it is "partial 16S ribosomal RNA". It matches the Rfam family "Bacterial small subunit ribosomal RNA", at positions 28 to 507 of the family's 1533-position model. The record is from RNAcentral.
GACGAACGCUGGCGGCGUGCUUAACACAUGCAAGUCGAACGGAAAGGCCCUGCUUUUGUGGGGUGCUCGAUUGGCGAACGGGUGAGUAACACGUGAGUAACCUGCCCUUGACUUUGGGAUAACUUCAGGAAACUGGGGCUAAUACCGGAUAGGAGCUCCUGCUGCAUGGUGUUGGUUGGAAAGUUUCGGCGGUUGGGGAUGGACUCGCGGCUUAUCAGCUGGUUGGUGGGGUAGUGGCUUACCAAGGCUGUGACGGGUAGCCGGCCUGAGAGGGUGAACGGGCACAUUGCUACUGAGAGAGGGCGCAGACGGCUACGGGACGCAGUAGUGGGGAACAUUGCACAAUGGGCGGAAGUCUGAGGUAGCAAUGCUGGGUGCGGGAUGAUGGCUUUUGGGUGGUAAACCGCUUUCGACGGUGAUGAAGAGUGAGUGACGGUAACGGGUAAAGAAGCAACGGCUAACUACGUG